UCCCCGUUCGUCUAAUGGCAGGACGCCGCGCUCUGGACGCGGUAAUCGAGGUUCGAGUCCUUGACGGGGAG
This 71-nucleotide transfer RNA is filed under the name Rhodococcus phage RGL3. RNAcentral's name for it is "tRNA-Gln". It matches the Rfam family "tRNA". From Rfam's summary of the family: Transfer RNA (tRNA) molecules are approximately 80 nucleotides in length. Their secondary structure includes four short double-helical elements and three loops (D, anti-codon, and T loops). The record is from RNAcentral. Lineage: Duplodnaviria; Heunggongvirae; Uroviricota; Caudoviricetes.